Molecule: transfer RNA, 75 nt
Filed under: Camelus bactrianus (Bactrian camel)
Lineage: Eukaryota; Metazoa; Chordata; Mammalia; Artiodactyla; Camelidae
Also listed under: 2 other names
Rfam family: tRNA
About the family: Transfer RNA (tRNA) molecules are approximately 80 nucleotides in length.
Source: Rfam by way of RNAcentral
GAUGAUAUAGCUCAGUGGUAGAGUGCCUGCUUAUUAGCAUGCACAAGCCCCUGGGUUCAAUCCCCAGUACCUCCA